Molecule: ribosomal RNA, 440 nt
Filed under: uncultured bacterium
Lineage: Bacteria
Description: partial 16S ribosomal RNA
Rfam family: Bacterial small subunit ribosomal RNA
Source: RNAcentral
CCUACGGGGGGCUGCAGUGGGGAAUCUUGCGCAAUGGGCGAAAGCCUGACGCAGCCAUGCCGCGUGAAUGAUGAAGGUCUUAGGAUUGUAAAAUUCUUUCACCGGGGACGAUAAUGACGGUACCCGGAGAAGAAGCCCCGGCUAACUUCGUGCCAGCAGCCGCGGUAAUACGAGGGGGGCUAGCGUUGCUCGGAAUUACUGGGCGUAAAGGGCGCGUAGGCGGACAGUUUAGUCAGAGGUGAAAGCCCAGGGCUCAACCUUGGAAUUGCCUUUGAUACUGGCUGUCUUGAGUACGGGAGAGGUGAGUGGAACUCCGAGUGUAGAGGUGAAAUUCGUAGAUAUUCGGAAGAACACCAGUGGCGAAGGCGACUCACUGGCCCGUUACUGACGCUGAGGCGCGAAAGCGUGGGGAGCAAACAGGAUUAGAUACCCGAGUAGUC